CCACCGCUUCCACCAUCGCCACUCGUCACCCCUUGCUCCCAUAGUCCCCAUACCAUGCCCGACCUCCACCCGCCGGAGCACCAAGUCGCCGGUCACCGCGCCUCCGCCAGCAAGCUGGGCCCGCUCAUCGACGGCUCCGGCCUCUUCUACAAGCCGCUCCAGGCCGGCGACCGUGGGGAGCACGAGGUCGCCUUCUAUGAGGCGUUCUCCGCCCACGCCGCCGUCCCGGCCCGCAUCCGAGACACCUUCUUCCCCCGGUUCCACGGCACGCGACUCCUCCCCACCGAGGCGCAGCCCGGGGAGCCGCAUCCGCACCUCGUCCUCGACGACCUCCUCGCGGGGUUUGAGGCGCCCUGCGUCGCAGACAUCAAGAUCGGCGCCAUCACGUGGCCACCGAGUUCGCCGGAGCCCUACAUCGCCAAGUACCUCGCCAAGGACCGCGGGACCACGAGCGUUCUGCUCGGAUUCCGCGUCUUGCGUCCGAGUCGUCGGCCCCGAGGGCGCCGUGUGGCGGACGGAGCGCCCGGAGGUGAAGGCUAUGGACACCGUCGGCGUCCGCCGCGUGCUCCGGCGCUACGUGUCAUCCGCUUGCCGACGAGGGGAUGGACUGCGCGCUCGCGGCGGCGGUGUACGGAGGAAAAGGUGGAGUCUUGUCACAGCUGCGCGAGCUCAAGGCAUGGUUGGAGGAGCAGACUCUGUUCCACUUCUACUCGGCGUCGAUUCUUCUGGGCUAUGAUGCUGCUGCAGUCGCAGCAGGCGGAGGUGGGGGUGGGGUAACAGUGAAGCUGGUGGACUUUGCCCAUGUGGCCGAGGGUGAUGGGGUGAUUGACCACAACUUCCUGGGCGAGCUCUGCUAGCUGAUCAAGUUCGUUUCUGACAUUGUUCCAGAGACUCCUUAGACGCAGCCUUUGGGUCCUUCUUAAGAGAGGAUCCUGACAUUUUUGAUUUGAUAACAAAGGAAGCACUUUCAGCUGCAAAAAAAGAAAGCAGCAGUGAGGAUGAAGAUGACAGUAGUGAGGAAAGUUCGGAUGAUGAGCCAACAAAAGUUGAAGAAAAGAAGGCUCCAAAAGUAUCAGAAAACAUUGGAUCUGAGGAUGAAUCUUCUGAAGACGAGAGUGAUAAAGACAGUGAAGAGCCUCAGGCAUGCCAUCAUUUAACACCUCAGGCACGCCAUCAUUUUUGUUUCACAACUCAAAAGUAAAGGAAAACACUAAAAGUAUGCAGGCAGUAUGAGGGACACACACAGUUUACUGAAACUCCCUUACACAGACACAUACACACCGUGUUCACUGAAACAUUCAGAUUUCACUAAACUGCAACUUCUCCAAACAAACACUAUCUGCGGCUCGGUCAAGUAACGAGCCUCGGCUCGGCUCGCUCCUCUAGCGAGCCUAAAAAGUCGGCUCGGUUCGGCGAGCCAACGAGCCUGACCAUAAGCAUGAAAUCAGUCUCCAAAAUAUAAUAUAAAGUCUCAAAAAUAAUUUAAGUGACACGUCUUAAAUUAGUAAAAUAAAUAUAUAUCAUAUAAUAUAGAAAAUAAGUUAAUUUUGUACAGUAAUCUAAAAAUAUAAAUUAAUCAUCUAUUUAGUACCUAUAAUAUAUGCUAAUUAAAAUUUAUAUAACAAAAAUGUUGUUGUUCGAGCCAGCUCGCGAGCUGAACUGGCUCGCUCUUUUAUUGAGCCAGAAAAAAACUCCGCUCGACCUUGUUCUAAGCACAGUUUCUGGAUCGGAGGAGCAUCCCCGCCUAGGUCUCUGCAGCCAUGGUUCGCGGAUCGCUCGGCAAGCUUGCAUCGCGCGCCCUCUCCGUCGCCGGGAGAUGGCAGCACCAGCAGCUCCGCCGCCUCAACAUCCACGAGUACCAGGGCGCAUAGUUGAUGGGUAAAUACGGGAUCAACGUGCCCAGGGGCGCGGCGGCUGGGUCCGUACAUGAGGUCAAGGACGCCUUGAAGAACAUGUUCCCCAGCGAGAAAGAGAUAGUUGUUAAAAGUCAAAUCCUUGCUGGUGGCCGAGGGCUGGGAACUUUCAAAAGCGGAUUGCAAAGUGGUGUCCAUAUUGUUAAGGCUGAGGAAGCUGAAUUGAUUGCAAGUAAAAUGUUAGGCCAGAUUCUGAUAACGAAACAAACUGGUCCAGAGGGAAAGAUUGUGAGCAAGGUCUACUUGUGUGAGAAACUAUCUCUUACAAAUGAGAUGUACUUUGCCAUCACCCUUGAUAGGAAAACUGCUGGUCCGCUCAUUAUUGCUUGCAGCAGGGGAGGAAAACACUAUAGUUGACCUCAAUGUUCAAAGGAUGGCCAGGGCUACAUCAUCUUGUUGUUGACGGGUUCCGUGUGUUCAAUCGCCGAGCAGAAAGCCAGGAACAGAACUUAGGCGUUGGCGAUUGGCAUCUCCCUCCCCUAAGCCAUGGCCACCGGGCGGCCCGUACGACUCGUGCUGGAUGCCUCCCUCCUCCUCGACCCCUCCUCCACCAGGGAGGCGGCGGCGGUGGCUCUGCGGCCCGGGGUAGAGGAGCUGUUGCGGCGGUUGCGCUACUCCAACCUGACUGUGGCAAUCUGCUAUGCAGAGGGCAUGCCAACUAAUGAGGUGCUCUACUUAUCUACAUUAUUAUUACAUCCCUCUGAAGUUGUAUCUUCAGAAGUUCACAUUGACAGUAUUUGCUUCCUCUUGCCAUACUUACCCAUCAUGGCCCAUGGGGUGUCUAUCUUAUCAUGCCAUCUUCAAAGAAUGGCAUCAUGUUAACAAAAAUGAAUGAGAAAUCAGUCAUUUCUAAUGGAAAGUCAGGCUUUCUUGAAAAGGUCACAAGCUCACACUUGUUUGGCUCUAUAGCACUUCUUGCGAAAAGUGGGAAUCUUUCUCUAACUGAAUUAAUGUUAGAAUGGAGCCGAACAAGUUUAUGUUUUUAUGCGACUUCAAGAGUUGACAAAGGUUUAAGUUCUGAGCUCCAGAAUCAGAAUUGGAGAGUUCUUUCUGUAGCUAAUGAAUGUAGCAUAGAGGUUCCUGUGUUUUAAAUGUUCAAAGGCUUCAGCAGUUGCUUCUCACCUUGGCUACUCUAAUAAAAAGGGAACUAUGUGACUCAUCUGUUCUGGUGAUUGGAUAUAUAAUGAAAAUAUUCUGUGAGGAAGACUUCGCAAGGAGAUGUGGUUCUGUCACUUAUGUGACUGUUGCCGUGUAUGGAGACGAGGACAAGCCAGCGCUUAUAAUGUUUACAGAGAUGUGGUUCUGUGACUGUUGUCGUGUACUCAGGCUUUAUUUCAACAGGAUUUAAAUAUGAGAUGUAGAGUGAUUGAUGUACAUCACUUCACUAAUCAUGAAAUCUGUAGAAGGCGAAACUACUAGCCAUAUAUGAUAUGCAUAAUCUGUGUGGUAAACAUUAUCAAUAUCACACAAAUUAUUUUUAA
This is an RNA transcript of Zea mays, 3394 nucleotides long. It is a transcript of the gene named inositol polyphosphate multikinase and succinate--CoA ligase [ADP-forming] subunit beta pseudogene, with no coding region annotated. The transcript has 14 exons. The record is from RefSeq and is marked validated. NCBI's taxonomy places the organism in Eukaryota, Viridiplantae, Streptophyta, Magnoliopsida, Poales, Poaceae.